AGCCGCCCACAACAUGACUCGACGACCCGGCAAACUGUUUUUUAUCUGGAAAUACGGUACUCCAUUUUCAAGAGACAACUGCAGUUGAAUCGAAGAAGGCGGACUACUCAAAGUGCAACCACCUAUAAUUUGAACUCGAAUUUUAUUUUUUAAAAACUUUUUUCCGCACACUUUUCAACUGUGCAUGCCUUUUCGCGAAAGAAAUUUCGAGACAGAAUAAAUGUAGUUUAAAUGUG
Caenorhabditis elegans is the source of this 236-nucleotide long non-coding RNA. Ensembl annotates it as ncRNA. Its record names the gene linc-65. The record is from Ensembl. NCBI's taxonomy places the organism in Eukaryota, Metazoa, Nematoda, Chromadorea, Rhabditida, Rhabditidae.